UACGGAGGGUGCAAGCGUUAAUCGGAAUUACUGGGCGUAAAGCGCGCGUAGGCGGUUUUUUAAGUCGGAUGUGAAAGCCCCGGGCUCAACCUGGGAACUGCAUCCGAUACUGGAAGACUAGAAUGCGGGAGAGGGAGGUAGAAUUCCAUGUGUAGCAGUGAAAUGCGUUGAUAUAUGGAGGAAUACCAGUGGCGAAGGCGGCCUCCUGGCUCGACAUUGACGCUGAGGUGCGAAAGCGUGGGGAGCAAACGGG
Molecule: ribosomal RNA, 253 nt
Filed under: uncultured bacterium
Lineage: Bacteria
Description: partial 16S ribosomal RNA
Rfam family: Bacterial small subunit ribosomal RNA
Source: RNAcentral